AGUUUUAUAGUCAAUAUUGAUAUUAAAUUGCAAAUUUAAAGGUGAAAUUUUUUUCUAAAGCUU
RNAcentral lists this transfer RNA (63 nucleotides) under Tragiscus dimidiatus. Its description in RNAcentral is "tRNA-Cys". Lineage: Eukaryota; Metazoa; Arthropoda; Insecta; Coleoptera; Scarabaeidae. The record is from RNAcentral.